AUCUUCUGCCACGUGAAGACACACAGAAGGCACCAUUUUCGAGGAAUGGGCCCUCACCGGACAUCAUAUCUGCUGGUACCCUGACUUUGUGCCCUGACUUCCCAGAUUCCUGAACUAGUCAGCACGUAAGCCGGACUGUCUAGGAAAACCUCCCCUUCCUGUGUCUGGAGGUGUUGAAAAAAAUAAUUCAACAAUGCUGCCCCUGCUGGCCACCAGUGUACCAUGCAAUAAUUCCAUGGCCCCUGCCACAGCCCAGGAAAUGGAGGAAAUGGCCAGGCAGCCACAUUCUCUCAUCCUGCAGAAGGACCCUUCUAGGUGUUAGAGGUUGAGGGAUUUUGGCUACAUAUGGCCCCAUACAUCUUCCUAGCUAUAGAUUCCAAUGGAAGAAGAGAACUUUCUUUCCUCUACUGAGUGCAUAUAAACUUCUGCAUCUUGCUUCUGGCCUCAACUUGAUCUUCAGCAUCAACAUCAAGCAGAGCAGCAUGAGAUGCAGUGCAAUGAAUAAACAGUUCUUGGUCACGGGCUUGCCCUUGCAGUCUGGAAAGAAAAUCCUGCAACUGAGAGAGCCACCAUGAUUUCCUGAAGUAUUUGGUGAAGAACCAUUCUCCAAACGUGAAGUCAGGAGAUAUGUAUUGCUAUUAUCAGAGCUGAGGAAAAGACACUAGAAGUUUGAAAUCUCAGAUGUCCACAGCAUCAUGACACAUAGUUAGGAUUCCAUGCUGAAUAGAAGGGGGAACCUACUGAAGAGUUUUCAGCAGAAGAGAGACCCAAUAAAACUUGCGUGUAAAUUAUAACCAUUGCUUCUGUAUAGCAUUCUGAUUGGAGAGUCAGGUAUAGAUGCACAGAGAGCAGUUAGAAGGUUAUUAUAGUAGUCUAGAAGUGACUGUGGACUUGUAGGGAAAUGGCAAAUAUUUAGAAAACAAAUUCAAUAACACUCAGCAAUCAGUUGGACUUGGGGUAUGAGGAAGGGAGAAAUGUCUGGUCUGAUUCCAUCACAAGGCCUUGUAUAUGCUGUUCCCUUUGCCUAAAAAUUCCCUUAGCUCCUCUUUUAACCUGGCGAAAUGUUGCUCCUUCAUCAGGUCUCAGCUUGAGCAUCUCUUCUCCAGGGAAAUUGAUCCUCUUGCCUUUCCCCUGUUUAAUUUCCCUUCCCAUCACUUAUCACAGUUUAUAACGUUAUAUUCACUCACUUAUAAAGUACUUUCUUAAAUAUUUUAGCUCCUCUACAAGGAUGUAUAAUCCUUGAAGCAGGAGCUGUUCCCACCCAAGAAAAUGAAAAUCUCAGUCAUUAAGUACACAAACACGGGUCCAGAUUGCUUGGUUUCAAAUCUUGGUUCUGCUACUGGCCAGCUGUGUGAUCCAAGAAAAGCUACUCGACUUCUCUGUGUCUUCAUCUGCUCAUCUGUCAAAUGGAUAUAUGAGUAGUCCUACUUCAUGGAGUUGUUGCGAGGAAUCCAUUAGGUAAUGUAUCCAAAGCCUUUAGAAGGAUGUCAUGUUUAUAGUAAGCACUAGCACAGUGAUAGCUGCUUUAAUUGUUCUCUUCUUCUUUGUCCCUAGUACCUCUCCUAGUGCCUGCAGCCACGCAAUACAUAUUUGAAAAGUAAGUGGAAAUCUGUCAAGUGUAAGUUACUGUGUGGAUAUUGGUGUGAUGCACAGAGAAGAGGAAGCACUGGAAGAUGAUCAUGGAAGGGAGAGAAGGCAAGCUUGCAAAAUCAGCAUUGGCUAUUUAAAUAAUAUCUGCCUAUGAUGCUGUCAAGGAAAAAUGUUGUGGAGCCGUUGGAAAUGUGACAUUGAAGCUCAAAACAGAGGCCUGAGGGGAUUGAUUAAUUUCCCAGAGCCGCCAUAAUAAGGUACCACAAACUAGGUGGUUUAAAACAAUAAACAUUUAUUGUAUCACA
This is a long non-coding RNA of Homo sapiens (human), 1895 nucleotides long. RefSeq lists it as uncharacterized. The transcript is spliced from 3 exons. The record is from RefSeq and is a predicted model, not a curated record. Lineage: Eukaryota; Metazoa; Chordata; Mammalia; Primates; Hominidae.